AUGACGUCAAGUCCUCAUGGCCUUAUGGGUAGGGCUUCACACGUCAUACAAUGGUCGGUACAGAGGGUUGCCAAGCCGCGAGGUGGAGCCAAUCCCAGAAAGCCGAUCGUAGUCCGGAUCGGAGUCUGCAACUCGACUCCGUGAAGUCGGAAUCGCUAGUAAUCGUGGAUCAGCAUGCCACGGUGAAUACGUUCCCGGGUCUU
This 203-nucleotide ribosomal RNA is filed under the name uncultured Rhodocyclaceae bacterium. Its description in RNAcentral is "partial 16S ribosomal RNA". It matches the Rfam family "Bacterial small subunit ribosomal RNA", at positions 1179 to 1382 of the family's 1533-position model. The record is from RNAcentral. Lineage: Bacteria; Pseudomonadati; Pseudomonadota; Betaproteobacteria; Rhodocyclales; Rhodocyclaceae.